AGGAAAAGAAACUAACUAGGAUUCCCUUAGUAACGGCGAGUGAACCGGGAUGAGCUCAAAUUUAAAAUCUGGCGUCUUUCAGGCGUCCGAGUUGUAAUCUAUAGAGGCGUUUUCCGCGCCGGACCGCGUCCAAGUCUCUUGGAAUAGAGUAUCAAAGAGGGUGACAAUCCCGUACUUGACGCGACAACCGGUGCUCUGUGAUACGUUCUCAAUGAGUCGAGUUGUUUGGGAAUGCAGCUCUAAAUGGGUGGUAAAUUCCAUCUAAGGCUAAAUAUUGGCGAGAGACCGAUAGCGAACAAGUACCGUGAGGGAAAGAUGAAAAGCACUUUGGAAAGAGAGUUAAACAGCACGUGAAAUUGUUAAAAGGGAAACGAUUGAAGUCAGUCGUGUGAAAGGUAUUCAGCCGUCUCUGGCGGUGUAUUUGCCUUUCACGGGUCAACAUCAGUUUGAUCCGGUAGAAAAAGGCAGGAGGAAGGUGGCACCCUCGGGUGUGUUAUAGCCUCUUGUCAUAUGUGCCGGACCAGACUGAGGAACGCAGCUUGCCGCAAGGCCGGGGUUCGCCCACGUACAAGCUUAGGAUGUUGACAUAAUGGCUUUAAACGACCCGUCUUGAA
This 614-nucleotide ribosomal RNA is filed under the name Vishniacozyma victoriae. RNAcentral describes it as "eukaryotic LSU rRNA". It matches the Rfam family "Eukaryotic large subunit ribosomal RNA", at positions 54 to 658 of the family's 3401-position model. Lineage: Eukaryota; Fungi; Basidiomycota; Tremellomycetes; Tremellales; Bulleribasidiaceae. The record is from RNAcentral.